UUAAAUUGAAGAGUUUGAUCAUGGCUCAGAUUGAACGCUGGCGGCAGGCCUAACACAUGCAAGUCGAACGGUAACAGGAAACAGCUUGCUGUUUCGCUGACGAGUGGCGGACGGGUGAGUAAUGUCUGGGAAACUGCCUGAUGGAGGGGGAUAACUACUGGAAACGGUAGCUAAUACCGCAUAACGUCGCAAGACCAAAGAGGGGGACCUUAGGGCCUCUUGCCAUCGGAUGUGCCCAGAUGGGAUUAGCUAGUAGGUGGGGUAAAGGCUCACCUAGGCGACGAUCCCUAGCUGGUCUGAGAGGAUGACCAGCCACACUGGAACUGAGACACGGUCCAGACUCCUACGGGAGGCAGCAGUGGGGAAUAUUGCACAAUGGGCGCAAGCC
This 388-nucleotide ribosomal RNA is filed under the name Escherichia coli. RNAcentral describes it as "bacterial SSU rRNA". It matches the Rfam family "Bacterial small subunit ribosomal RNA", at positions 1 to 383 of the family's 1533-position model. The record is from RNAcentral. Lineage: Bacteria; Pseudomonadati; Pseudomonadota; Gammaproteobacteria; Enterobacterales; Enterobacteriaceae.